Molecule: ribosomal RNA, 376 nt
Filed under: uncultured bacterium
Lineage: Bacteria
Description: bacterial SSU rRNA
Rfam family: Bacterial small subunit ribosomal RNA
Source: RNAcentral
UAAGACGAACCGUGCGAACGUUAUUCGGAAUCACUGGGCUUAAAGGGCGCGUAGGCGGGCUAGCAAGUCAGGGGUGAAAUCCUUCGGCUCAACCGGAGAACUGCCUUUGAUACUGCUAGUCUCGAGGGAGGUAGGGGUCUGCGGAACUUCCGGUGGAGCGGUGAAAUGCGUUGAUAUCGGAAGGAACGCCGGUGGCGAAAGCGGCGGACUGGACCUCUUCUGACGCUGAGGCGCGAAAGCCAGGGGAGCAAACGGGAUUAGAUACCCCGGUAGUCCUGGCCCUAAACGAUGGGUACUAGGUUGUGGACUAGACAUGGGUUCACAGCCGAAGCAAAAGUGUUAAGUACCCCGCCUGGGGAGUAUGGUCGCAAGGCUG